Molecule: long non-coding RNA, 432 nt
Filed under: Brassica rapa (field mustard)
Lineage: Eukaryota; Viridiplantae; Streptophyta; Magnoliopsida; Brassicales; Brassicaceae
Description: long non-coding RNA (BRAP_LNC002269)
Source: RNAcentral
ACUGACAUGACCCAUUUUCUACUUUGUAUUAUACGGCCCGACAGUAGUGUGACGUUACUUUCUCAAAGCUAUGAGAAAAAAUGUGUAAAGGAGAUAUCUAGCGUCAAUUACGGUUGGUUUAGUUUAAAAUAUGAUGAUUAUACAGAGAGGACAUGGUGGUAUAUAAAGUGUUAAAGCCAAAAAUAUAUAUAUAUAUAUAUGACGUGACUUAUUUGUUUGGUGUAUGUACUCAAAACUUCCACUUCUAGAUUUCACUACAUGUUUUGUGCCAAAAAAAAAAAAAAGAUUUCACUACAUGCAUAAAAAAUCAUUACAUAUUACAGAAGACUUAUUAAAGUUAGCAUUGUGUACUUUAUCAACAUUCCGUAGCCGUUUGAUGCGAUAAAAAAAAAGGUUCCGUAAUCGUAGUUUUAGAUUAUUGUUAGGUGGACG